AAUAACUAAAUUAUUUGAUAGAUUAAUUGAAGCUGAAAUUUUGACAGGAAGUAAUAUCGGUCAUAAAGUUUUCAUACCUAGAAUUAUAUCAUAUAAAAAUGAACAUAGAUGGCCAUUUAAAUUUAAACGCCGACAAUUUCCAGUUAGACCAUGUUAUGCAAUGACAAUUAAUAAAAGUCAGGGCCAAUCACUUAACCAAGUUGGCGUAUAUCUUACUGAUAACGUUUUUACUCAUGGACAACUAUACGUUGCUGUAUCACGUGUUACAUCAAAAAGUAGUUUAAAAUUUUUAAUACAUAAUAAUGAAGAAAUACCAAAUAAAUACACUAAAAAUAUAGUGUUCAAUGAUGCAUUAUUAUGAUUGCCAAAUUCAAUUUACACAUGAUAUAAAUAAAGUGAAGUAUUAAGACGUACAAAAUAAAAAAUGAAAGUAUAAAAAACAAGAGGUUUUACAACUUACAAGAAGACAUGGUUGUCAAAAAAAAACUUACAAGGAGCCAUGGUGUAGGAGUCACAAUAUUUAUGAAUCCUUAAGUCCUGAACUAUCUUCACAAAUCAAAUAGCUACCUUUACUCACUACACCUAUUUCCCCUAAUGAUGAACACGCAUGCAACUACAUGCUUCUGCAUGUCACUUUCUGCAUCUUUCCCAUCCACUCCCCUAUUUUUUCAAUUCCCGAAAUUGAGAGAAGAUGAAUACACUAUGUAUGGGCUUCGUGGACAAUCAACAGACAUAGAGAAGCCACAAAAGGAUGUGAUUCUGGUUUUGAGAUUUCAUCAGCCAUCUCCAGAUUACUAAGACUAUGUCAAGUUAAUUAUUUCCCAUACUUUGGAUGAGUGCACACCAACUGUUUGAUCAAAUGCUUAACUGAGAACUAUUUGAUAACACCAACUGUUUUGUUACUCAGGCUACAUUUCAAUCAUCUGCGGUUAUUUUUUGCGUCAAAAAGUACUGCUAAAAUGAAAGGUGAUUCUCAGUUUAAAAUUAGGAUCUUAUUAUAUUUUUAACAGGAUGCGAAAUUCUAAGGUGUCAAAUUUAUUUUGCUGUCUUACUUUUUCAACUGUGUAUCAAAAGGAAACUAAACUACAAGAACCUCUUUAACAGCUCAUGAAUAUAUGCAUAAUUGGAUACAAUUAUUCAUGUAUUUUGGUUUAUCAUUUUCCACUCAAUCAUAUUAAAAUACAAAUUCAUGUGUUGUCUUCACGGGAUUGACAUAUUGAUAUUGCUGCCCUUUUAUUAUCUACUUGGUGAAAAUAAAAAGGUCACAUGUGAGAACACAAGGCAUGACAGAGCUUAAGCUUAAGCUUGACAUCCUCUAAUGCCAUACAUGACACUCUCCAGUCAACUAUUCAAGUUAGUUCAAAUUUGUCCAAGUUCAAAUGGGAGGGCCACCACAAUUUAACGUCAAAAGGAAACAAACACAGAGGAAAUAAAUUGAAAUAGCAUAAAUGAAUCACCAUUGAAUGGUCAGUUAUUUUGGUAGCUUGCACAGUUAGGAUUGGUUUUCAUCUGCUGUGUAUUCCUCUUUCUUUUUUUAGCUGUUGCUAAUUUUUACAUCCAAAAAUAGACAGCCAAUUUUUGCAUUCUUAAUAUGUACAUCCUAUGCUUUACUUUAUAUAUGCUUUAGUUUUGUAUCAAGGUCAGUAAACUUCAUCUGACUAUCAAAUGUAAAUAUGUUUGUAAAUAUAUGCAAAUAUUUCUGUUAUUGUUUUGACAUUUUACAACUUAAUA
Argentina anserina (silverweed cinquefoil) is the source of this 1731-nucleotide long non-coding RNA. RefSeq lists it as uncharacterized. The transcript has 4 exons. NCBI's taxonomy places the organism in Eukaryota, Viridiplantae, Streptophyta, Magnoliopsida, Rosales, Rosaceae. The record is from RefSeq and is a predicted model, not a curated record.